Molecule: long non-coding RNA, 1143 nt
Organism: Carya illinoinensis
Lineage: Eukaryota; Viridiplantae; Streptophyta; Magnoliopsida; Fagales; Juglandaceae
Exons: 7
Source: RefSeq, a predicted model, not a curated record
UAAGAAAAUCCCACAUGCCCGCCUAAAUUAUAGCCCAUACCCCCAAACCCUAAAACAAAAGUUUUUCCUCAUCUCCUUCAGCACCUCCCUACUUUUUUUCUUCUCUCUACAAACAAACCACUAGCCCCCACCCCUCUAAGCUCGUCCCAUUGCCGAAAAUCACCACGCUGUUGCUCUCAUUCCUCCGGUAGCGUGUGAGGAUAUCAUUAAUAACUAUGGGUUUGGUCCCCCAUAACACGAAGCCUUCCCAUGGCCACAUUGUUUUUUUAUAGGAUGGUUGUAGUAGGAUAAAGAUAUCUCUCUCUUGGAGUGCAGAACAAUUGAUGCUGUCCAUUAUUUUUCUUGAGCAAUAGUGCUACUUGAAGAGUUUGUUCAUUGAAAUGUUUCAGGAACAAUACAUACAGGGAAAAACUACGGUCAUACUGAACAAAUGGACAGACAUCUGGCACCCCAUGCUCUUCCAAGUGCCAAUGGUCCCGCGGACUAGAACGAAGCUUUGGACAUUAUUUCCUUUGGUACUCCUGAGCAGUCUGUUGAAGGAAUGAAAGUUGUGUGUCAUGAGUUAGCACAGGCCACUAGUGAUCCAGAUGGCAGUGCAAUGGAUGAACUUGUGAAGGAUGCAGAUAGUCUGGUUUCAUGCUUGGCAAAUAAGGCAAUUACAUUUAUGUCUCUUUAGAUGAUCACUAUCACUCCCCCAUUUCUUUCAUCAUGGUGGCUACUACUUUUGACUUCAGUCUGACUGGAGCAUCGUCACGGUCUUGCAAAUAUGUCUUGAACACGCUCAUGCAAACCUUUCAAAAUAAAAGACUCGCUCAUGCUGUCAAGGUGGAUAUUCUUGAUGGUUCCAGAAUUCUUGAAACUGGCAGAUUAGUUUGCAGUUAAUGACUCGACUUGAUCACACAAUGGUUCCAAAAUAAACGAAGACACAGGGGCUGAAUAUUAUAAGUUAUUGAUUUUUUCCAUGGUUUCUUUGGGAUGAGGAUUUUGUAUCAUGAACUUGUAGAGGUGUGCAAAUCUUAAAGGGACAAACCAAGUUGUGCUUCAGUUAUUGUCAUCUAUCUAUUUGUAUGAGAUGGAUCUAGAUUCCCUUCAACGUUAAAGUUUUAUUGACUCUUACUUAUCUAAAAGGGAAGUUUUUAUUGA